UGAAAGCAUCUAAGCGUGAAGCCGGCCUCAAGAUGAGAUAUCCCACUGAUUUAAUCAGGUAAGGUCCCAGGUAGACUACCUGGUAGAUAGGCUGCAUGUGUAAGGACGGCGACGUCUUUAGCUUGGCAGUACUAAUAGACCGAGGGCUUGACCUAUU
This 157-nucleotide ribosomal RNA is filed under the name Oscillospiraceae bacterium. RNAcentral's name for it is "partial 23S ribosomal RNA". It matches the Rfam family "Bacterial large subunit ribosomal RNA", at positions 2772 to 2925 of the family's 2925-position model. The record is from RNAcentral. Lineage: Bacteria; Bacillati; Bacillota; Clostridia; Eubacteriales; Oscillospiraceae.